AAACUUGGACAUUGAUAGCAUAGUGAUGCGUUAGAAAGAGAAGACAGACUCAUUAAACGGCGAGCCCUCCUCUGCCUACCUAACAAGUGUAAAGGCGUUCUGGCAUUGGAACGAUGCUGAAGGUUCUGCCUUUCCAGGAACAGGUCUCUCCUUCUCCUUUAUAGCACGGAAAAUAAUAGAAAAUACCAGCAGCGCCACCACCUCCUCCCAGCAGCGGUGUCCCUCAUAGCUGUCAACACACACCUACACCAGUUGCCGAGCUUCAAUCUUUUUCAACCACCACAAUUGCCAUCAAUGCCACUGACGACUCCAAUAACGGUGAGCAUCACCCGAAGCAGCAGCUGUUUCUCCACGGGAGAACCUUUUUUUUUCUUCCAGCAGUGGUCAAGUCUUUAUAGAGGGAAAGGUUCGACGUACCAGUAAAAAGAGAGGAGGAGGCCAAAACUUCAACAGAGCAGAUCUCCAAUCUCAAAUAGCGUGAAGGUGCACCACUGAUCUACAAGUGACGAGGGAAAAGAGAUAUUGUAAAUCCCAGUAACUUCCAAUCGGGAAAAUAAUUACUGAAAAUUUUUUUGGGGUAAUUUAGGGUGAAAAUCCAGAAAAAAAUAGAUUAGAACUGUGAAUAAGUUAAUGUAUAAAUUUACGCGCCCAUGAUACUAACUUGAUCAUGUAAAUUCAAACAAAAAAUGGUGAAUUAGAUCCAGGGGAAAUUUUAAGAUCUUGAAAGAGUAUCAUUAAUCUUGGAUUAUUUGAAAAUAAAAUUGUGUAUGAAAAGUUCCGUGAUUGGGGGAAUUAAAAAAAAGUAAGUGAUAUUUUUGUAAAUAAAAGAAAACACUUUUUCCCUUCUU
This 848-nucleotide long non-coding RNA is filed under the name Populus tremula. Its description in RNAcentral is "long non-coding RNA (PTRE_LNC001828)". Lineage: Eukaryota; Viridiplantae; Streptophyta; Magnoliopsida; Malpighiales; Salicaceae. The record is from RNAcentral.